Molecule: transfer RNA, 74 nt
Filed under: Blastopirellula sp.
Lineage: Bacteria; Pseudomonadati; Planctomycetota; Planctomycetia; Pirellulales; Pirellulaceae
Also listed under: 1 other name
Description: tRNA-Arg
Rfam family: tRNA
About the family: Transfer RNA (tRNA) molecules are approximately 80 nucleotides in length. Their secondary structure includes four short double-helical elements and three loops (D, anti-codon, and T loops).
Source: RNAcentral
GCACCCAUAGCUCAACUGGAUAGAGCACCGGUUUACGAAACCGGAGGUUACAGGUUCGAGUCCUGUUGGGUGUA